CCUCUUCACUAAAUUCACACUCUAUCACACAGUCUCAAGAUGCUAUACAGAUACUUCUUUUUAGACUUUGAGCCUUCAUGAGAGGAACAUUGAAAGACAAAAAUUACAGUCUUUAAGAAGUUACUGUCCUGAGGCUCUACACCUGCCCACAAUUACCAUGGAGACCGUGGAUGACAAAUAUGUUUGGAAUACGCCAGUCCCCUAGAGGGAGGCAGCUGCUUCUGGCAAGUAGGAGGCCCAGGGAGAGUUGUGAGUGGGAAUUCCUGCCUCUUCUCCCAAGCGGGCAAGUCUUGUCUGGGCGAUGCCUAAAGUUUCAAAUUGCUGCCUGGAGGUUGAUGCUGAAUAAAGUUAAAAGGUCACAAAGUAAAA
Non-coding RNA from Macaca mulatta (Rhesus monkey), 369 nucleotides. The record is from RefSeq and is a predicted model, not a curated record. NCBI's taxonomy places the organism in Eukaryota, Metazoa, Chordata, Mammalia, Primates, Cercopithecidae.